AGCCAUAAAUAUUGUUUUUGGGGUGUUUAACAUUUCAUCAGGCACAAAAAGCUUAAAUUUUGUCUUUUUCUGUAGGUUUGUGUUCAGUGUCAUUACUAGAAUGUUACAAUUGUAGGACUUUUUCUUAGAAUGCCUUGAAGUUCAGUAUUAAGUUGACACCAACUUAAAAUUCAUAUUUUGUCUGAAAUCUUUACUACUGUUACUUGACACAUGUAAAUUUACUGUAGCGGAAAGAGAUUAGAAAAAUUCUUUCAAUUUGUUUACUUUGCGCUUCUCACAGAAACGUCUAUAACAGUUUUGUCUGCUUGUAUAGUCAUUCACGUCCCCUGUUGUCCCUAUUGGUCUUUCAGUGCUGUAACAGAAGAGAGAGAAACCCCUAAAAAAAAUAAAAAAAUGUAAAACUACAAACAUUGAUAACAGACUUAAGCAGGGUGUAAUUCCUGAAACUAACUUUUUGAAGCUGACUAGAUUUCCAGUUGUAUGCAGUGUUGUAGCCGUGUUGGUACCAGGAUAUUAGAGAGACAAGGUAAAUGAGGUAAUACCUUUUAUUGGACCAACUUCUAUUGGUAGGAAAGACUAGCUUUUGAGCUUACACAGCUCUUUCAGAACAAGAAGAACUCUGUGGAAGCUCGAAAGCUUAUGUCUCUCACCAAUAGAAGUUGGUCCAAUAAAAGAUAUUCUCUCACCCACGUUUUCUCGUUGGAUUUCAAGUUGAUGGUCAAAAUCUAGAUUUCAGCCAACUUUUAUCAGGGGUUAGGACGAAACUUUCUCUAAAGAGACAGUUAUCCCUUACUGCCUAAAGGAUUUCAUGCACCUUCUGUGAAGCAUUUGGUACUGUCCAGUCACCAACAAUGGUGACUGGCUUAGAUGGACCACUGGUCUGAUCUGGCAUAGGAUUCAUAUCUUCUUAAACUUGUACAUAAUAAUUAUUAUUAUAUUAUUAUUUAUUAUAACAGAAAUAUAUAACAGGUUUCAGAAAAUAUAUAACAAUCAACUUGUUUUUAUUUGGAUAAAAACCUCCUGCAGUUUGUAACCCAAACACUGCAGUAUUGUGUGAGUAUUCAAAUCUGAGCUGGAAAGUGAUCGUGACUCAAAACAAUGAUUUUGGCUAGUCUAUUUUAAUUGAUAUAAACUGAAAUACAAAAUACAUUUUUCUAAAAUGAUCAUAAAUGUUAACAGUUUAAGAUACUUGUAAACAAGGAACAACUUAAAUUUUGCAUGUGUUCCUCUGCAAUGACUAAGUACUGGGCACUGUUAUAUUUACUGUCAUAGAAAUCAAUAUGUAAGGAAUGCUACUGUCCAGUGUAAUAAAGGUAAAAGUUGUUUUUGCAAGGACUUCCAUGCUUUCUUUGCAUGGUUUACUGUAUUUCAGAGCUCAUAUAACAUAAUUUUCCUAUCAGUUGUCCAUCAAUUCCUGUAUCUUAUGUGCUUGCCAAUAUCAGGUGCUUUAAAUGAAAGUGCCAGAAACCCCCAUAGUGACCAAUUAUGAAUAACCUUU
Long non-coding RNA from Dermochelys coriacea (leatherback sea turtle), 1498 nucleotides. RefSeq lists it as uncharacterized. NCBI's taxonomy places the organism in Eukaryota, Metazoa, Chordata, Testudines, Dermochelyidae. The record is from RefSeq and is a predicted model, not a curated record. The transcript has 2 exons.